Molecule: ribosomal RNA, 453 nt
Filed under: Flavobacterium sp. STEP_aq_290
Lineage: Bacteria; Pseudomonadati; Bacteroidota; Flavobacteriia; Flavobacteriales; Flavobacteriaceae
Description: bacterial SSU rRNA
Rfam family: Bacterial small subunit ribosomal RNA
Source: RNAcentral
AUGCAAGUCGAGGGGUAUAGGUUUUCGGACCUANAGACCGGCGCACGGGUGCGUAACGCGUAUGCAAUCUACCUUUCACAGAGGGAUAGCCCAGAGAAAUUUGGAUUAAUACCUCAUAGUAUUAUAGAGUGGCAUCACUUUAUAAUUAAAGUCACAACGGUGAAAGAUGAGCAUGCGUCCCAUUAGCUAGUUGGUAAGGUAACGGCUUACCAAGGCAACGAUGGGUAGGGGUCCUGAGAGGGAGAUCCCCCACACUGGUACUGAGACACGGACCANACUCCUACGGGAGGCAGCAGUGAGGAAUAUUGGACAAUGGGCGCAAGCCUGAUCCAGCCAUGCCGCGUGCAGGAUGACGGUCCUAUGGAUUGUAAACUGCUUUUGCACAGGAAGAAACAACGCUACGUGUANCGUCUUGACGGNNCUGUGAGAAUAAGGAUCGGCUAACUCCGUGCC